GGGGUGUCGUCUGGGUGCUAGUCACGUUCUAUUUCUUAAUCUAGGUGGUGGUUGUGUGUGUUCGCUCAGUCUGUUAAAAAAUCAUCAAGCUAAAUGUGCAUAAUCUGUGCAGAUCGGUAGAGCA
Molecule: long non-coding RNA, 124 nt
Organism: Herpailurus yagouaroundi (jaguarundi)
Lineage: Eukaryota; Metazoa; Chordata; Mammalia; Carnivora; Felidae
Exons: 3
Source: RefSeq, a predicted model, not a curated record